Long non-coding RNA from Parus major (Great Tit), 435 nucleotides. RefSeq lists it as uncharacterized. NCBI's taxonomy places the organism in Eukaryota, Metazoa, Chordata, Aves, Passeriformes, Paridae. The transcript has 3 exons. The record is from RefSeq and is a predicted model, not a curated record.
UGAAUUCUUUCAAUGCAAAUGGAAAUUGCAGAGAAACAGACUGCAACACUGAAAUGAGAAACCCUGAAAUUACUGUACAAGGAGUCUACAGCUGGUGUUGCAUCAUCUGAACAGCAUUUCCUUCAGAAAAAAAUAUCUAAAGUCUUCAAAAUUGGCUUCAGUAUCUCCACCAAGAGCAACAGUAAAACUCUAUGGGCAAACAAGUAAAAUGCAUUGGACUUCUUUGAGUAAUGCAGCUGUGGAGACUAUCUGGGAGACUAAAACAAAUGAUGCCCUGAUAUAAUCAUAACAGAGCUGGAAGAAAGGCAAUCUCAGCAAAAAUCUUGACAGCAGAAUCUGCUCCUGUUUAAGUCUGACCUGUUCUUCCUGCAGAAGCAGCAUGACAGUAUGUUUUGCAAAAGAUUUGUAUUUAUAUGCUUGGCUGUCAGCUCUAAA